CAAGGAUAAAAAAAAAGAAUGCCUUUAGAUCUGUGUCUGUUGACUUCUCGCUGGGAGUGCUACACUCUGAUCGUGGCAAGAAUCUUGCUGAUGAUCAAGCCGGAUGCUACAGGGGUUGCCUGAUCACCAAGAACAGCAGCAACUACUCCAUAUCUUCUUGAAGGUGAAGGAAGAACGGAAGAGAACAUAGUAUAUGUGCCACUUUAAACAAAGGGAGGACAGCCCACCGGAAGCAUGAGGUGAAUUGUCAGACUGAAUGCUGAAUCAACAUUAGACAUGCCGGCAUGCAUGCCUGAAUAUAUGUCUGCCAUGCAAAUUGUAAGGCUAAGCUCACACUACUGAAGAAGACACCGUGACUGCUUUUUAAACACUAUGUCCAUCUUCAUCCAUAUAUUCUCAGGUAAUAUGAACAGAAACAUAACUACAUCAAAGACUUUCAGGAGCCACAGUACAGCUAUAAAAGCAUAAUCUUACUCUGACAGUUUAAGAGGUUACUAUGAUAAACUGGCAGGAUGAAUUUCCAAUGCAAAUAGUAUAGGGCUGAUGGGACGAACAAUUAUUCCAAAUUCGCCUUCUGUCUGAUUCUACAAGAUUUAUUUUUCUUUUUUUAAAAAAACUGCAUCAAGGAGCACACACUCUUGUGUAAGCUGGCUGGAGUUUAAGAAUGGGAAUGUACCUCCAAAUGUAGAUCCCACUGAAAGGAAGAUAACAGCCUCCAUGUUAAACCUGCACCCAUAAAAACGAAAGGAGACUAUCCAUAUUUGGAUACAUUCUAAUGAUCUGAUUUGUCUCUGAAGGAUUAAAACACAAGGGUAUCUGAGGGAAUCACAGUUUCCAUGGAGAGUUGAUAUCUCAAGGGUAGAAAAAGCAGGAAAUUCCCUAAAAAUAAAGGGUUAGGUUUCAAACAUUCCAAGCUAUUUGCUGUCUGUUUAGACUAUAUACAUUUAGGGCCAGCUCAAGACAUUCUGCUGCCAAAGGUGAAUGACAAGAAGGUGUCCCCCCCCUUCACAUACAGAAACUGAUUAGACUGGCAGUUUAAUCUUAUCUUGACAGUGGUUGGGACAAUGUACUGUAAACCAUAAGACAAACCUUGUUUAUAGCUUGUUGUUUGGAGAGAGUUAAACUAUAAGCCUGGUUUGGACAACAAGCUAAGCCAAACCAUGUCCUACCUUAGCAUAGCAGCAGUACAGCUGGUGAAGAACACAGAGCCUGAAAUCUCCUCUAGGAGCCUGCCUGCACAUUGGCUUGUUCAUGCUAAGCCACAGUUUCUUUUAGCAUGACAAAAUAAAUAAAUGCUUUUCUGCUCUUGAUGUACAAAAACAUGAAAGAGGCCUGCAAAGCUUUUCAUAUUUUCAAGUUUAAAAACUUGAUGGAGCUGUUUAAAAAAAUGACUCUCUCUCUCCGACCACAGUACCAACUGGCAAAUGGGCUUCAAAUUCCAGAUGAAGAGCAAAUCUAAAUCAACUUCUGUUCCCUGUAGAAUGGGAACUGAUGAGGUACUUCAUAAAAUGAUUGGAGAAGCAAAUUAUACUGCAACCUCUGCAAUGUUCCACAGUGUAGUUACUGUUCCCUUUCUCCCAUUCUUUGGAUACCCUGCAAUUUUCAGCAGAGAUACCCAGAAACACAGGCUUUUUGGCCGCGGCUUCACAUUUAUGAAAUUCCCUCGCUAGAGAUCUUCAUCAAGACCCUUCUCUGGUUGCUUUCAACAGGCUCUGAACAUAUAUCUUUUGUUUAGCCUUCCCUGAUUAAUUGAUAUAUUAACACAAAGUAUAAUAUAUAUGGAUAUUCUGUAGCUGAAGACUUUGGGCUAUGUUUGGGGCAUUCAACCAUUUUAAUCCACUUCGGUCAAAUGGUGCAACUUUUAGGUUAGACACCCUCUGUGCUAGACAUUUAAAGCAGUAUUUUACUACUGUUAUAGCUUCCCACAGAGAAUCCUGGGAAGUGUAAUUUGUGAAGGGUGCUGCGAGUUGUCAGGAGAUCCCCUGUUCUCCCUCACAGAGCUACAAUUCCCAGGGUUCCCUGGGAAGAGGGAUUGUUCAACCACUCUGAGAACUGUACCUUUGUGAGGGGGAAAAAGACACCUUCAUUUUAGGAAGACAGUUCUAUUAUGGGUCUCUUCCCAGCAUAGUAUACCAAGAGGAGAGGGGUCACUUUAAGUUCUGAGUACAGCGACAAUUUAACUUCCCAUCUCAGUUGCUAGUUCUGAUUUAAAAAUAAAAUAGGAGAACCCAACAGUAAUUGUUGGCAUUUGUUCCAGGCACUACCUGUUGGUUUCAAUCCUAAAAGUAAGAACUGCCUUAAGGAGGCUUCUGAUCACUACUCUUGGAAAGUCACUGAAAAGGCUUCUUAUGCAUGACCAUUCUCUGAGCAUGGGAAUCCCAUUGUGUUAUGCCCUGUCACAUGAAGCACCAGCACACAGAAGCAUUUUUAAAAAGGAUUCAGUUAGCUCUUAGUCUUUUAUGCUUUGGGAUCCCUUACAAUGCCUAACCCAGAGGUUCCCCAAACUGCGGUCCGUGGACCACCAGUGGUCCAUGAGGUUCAUUCAGGUGGUGCAUGACAGGUCCACUUGAAAUAUUCAUAUUGAUUUUUAGCUAUAUUUUCAUGUUGUCAUGUGCUGUGCUAGGUGCUAACUUUUUACUUUUAUUUUCAUUGCUUCUUUUCUUUCUUACAUGGUAUUUUAUUGUAUUACAAUUUGUAUUCUGCAACAACUGGCAGAAAAAUCAUUAAGUGGUCCGCCAAGUCCCCAGCAAUUUUCAAGUGGCCCAUGGGGAAAAAAGUUUGGGGACCGCUGACAUAACCUAAUGUUGGCAACUAUUCAAGGCACCAUCAUGGGCUUGUGGAGUCACAAUAUUUUAUUCUUGGAAAGGAUGAAGAACAAAAAUGACUUGCAACGUACUAGGCUUUUGCUGUGGUAUCCGCCAUAUAUUAAUCACACCAAUCACAAUAACUAUUUCUCCCAGCUAUAUUCAUCUCACUGAAUUUUUUAUUGUGGAGCAACACAGUAGUCAGGUUCACUAUGACUUAGCACAUAAGCAACAUAUAAUUAACUAGUGCUUUCAAAUUGUAGGAAAUUGCUUUAAAAUAUGUUAUUAUCAACAUUAAAUUAGGAGGGGGAGAAUAAUGUGUGCCACUUUGAGCUCCUUGGAGAAAAAGUGGGAUAUAAAUGCAAGAAUAAAAUAAAUAAAUAUGCAUAUUCUUUUACUUAAUGGUAAGUGUAUUUUAGUUUUAACAUUUUAUGUAAACUG
Rhineura floridana is the source of this 3245-nucleotide long non-coding RNA. RefSeq lists it as uncharacterized. The record is from RefSeq and is a predicted model, not a curated record. The transcript is spliced from 3 exons. NCBI's taxonomy places the organism in Eukaryota, Metazoa, Chordata, Lepidosauria, Squamata, Rhineuridae.